This 1052-nucleotide unclassified non-coding RNA is filed under the name Hevea brasiliensis (rubber tree). The record is from RNAcentral. Lineage: Eukaryota; Viridiplantae; Streptophyta; Magnoliopsida; Malpighiales; Euphorbiaceae.
AUACUUUAGUGUAUAGUUCUCUUUUUUAUGAAUAAAUGAAGUCCAUCUACCUCUCUAUUAAGCAGAAUAAUAUCCAUAACACUCCCAUGAAUUUCAAUUUAAGCUAAACAUUCUUUUGUUGUCAAACAAAAUCCACUUUUGCAUUGCAUUUUGUUUCUCAAUUUUCUGGCUGAAAUGACCUAAAACCCUUGCAAACCAUCACUGGUGUUUCUUUAGUAGGCUUGGAAUGCAAUUGUUAUCAGCAAAUGAUUAAGCAGAGGAUUUACAUUUCGAAUAACUAUAGUAAAAUACAAUGCAUAACUUCAGUUUCAAGUAUGGCAAAACUUCCUGCUAAAAGAACAACAGUGUCAAAACUUCCAUUUCCAAGAUAUAGAUUACAAGCCAAUAUUUGGUUCAGAACACUCUUCUGCUGGAAGAUGAUCAUUAUGCCCAUCGCUAUCUUCCAUGCUGGCUGCCAUAGGCAGAAAGGGAUGUAAUUCUAGUUGAGGGAAUAACAGCUUCAGGCGAAAUGCAUCAACUCCAUUCAGAUAGUACCGAAAGAGCCGUUUUGCUCUAAUAAACCCAAGACGGCCAUAUAAAGCUAGUGCUCCUUUGUUUGUGACUUCUGCUUCUAAUGUCACCUCUUCACAUCCUGAUUCCAUCAUUACUUUAAUAGAUCUGGUAACAAGUUCAGUGGCAAUGCCUCUUCCACGAUAAGGUUUGAUGACAACUAACAUAGCAAUGUAGCCCCUAAAUGUAGUAUUCCUAUGCUCCCCCAUCUUGCACACUACAGUCCCCACGCAUUUACCUUUGUGAAAUGCCAAGAAAGAGAGCUGAGGCCAUAGAUAAACGAAGUAACGGUAAGUGAAGAUGGAGUAGGGCUCGCUGAGUUCUUGGUCGACGAGGCCCAUGAUUAACGGUAAGUGGUGUUCGCCUCCGUAGCUUACGUAUUCUAUCUCGGAUGCAUCGAAUUCUGCCUUUUUCUCUCUUGCUUCUUCUACUUCAUUGCUUUGCUCCAUCGUUGUUAUUUCUCUCUUACGCUCGACGUUGAGGGUUUCCUUCAGGGAGAUAGG